AUUUGUACUGUAUUUUUCUGAACAAAAUUAUUUCCAAAAUAUGGAUGGUUCCGUUCCGCAAACGGAUACGAUGAUGUCGGAUGUGGCUGCACCUCCGGCUCAACAACCACCUCCGCCGUCACAACCGCUGGCUGGAAUGGAUAAUAUUCCGGCGACGUUAAGCCAUGGUGGCAGGUUCAUUCAAUACAAUAUUUUUGGUAAUAUUUUUGAAGUUACUGCUAAGUAUAAACCUCCUAUAAUGCCAAUUGGUAAAGGUGCUUAUGGAAUCGUUUGUUCUGCUUUGAAUUCGGAGACAAAUGAAUCUGUAGCAAUUAAGAAAAUUGCUAAUGCUUUUGAUAACAAGAUUGAUGCUAAGAGGACUUUGAGAGAGAUCAAGCUUCUUCGACAUAUGGAUCAUGAAAAUAUUGUUGCGAUCAGAGAUAUAAUUCCACCACCACAGAGAGAAGCCUUUAACGAUGUUUACAUUGCGUAUGAGCUUAUGGAUACUGAUCUCCAUCAAAUUAUUCGCUCGAAUCAGGGUUUAUCUGAGGAGCACUGCCAGUAUUUCUUGUAUCAGAUCCUCCGUGGGUUGAAAUACAUACAUUCUGCAAAUGUUUUGCACAGAGACUUAAAGCCUAGCAAUCUUCUCUUGAAUGCCAACUGUGAUUUGAAGAUAUGUGAUUUUGGGCUAGCUCGUGUCACUUCUGAAACUGACUUUAUGACCGAAUAUGUUGUGACAAGAUGGUAUCGUCCACCUGAGCUGUUGUUGAAUUCAUCCGACUAUACUGCAGCAAUUGAUGUAUGGUCAGUGGGUUGCAUCUUCAUGGAGUUGAUGGACAGAAAACCCCUCUUCCCUGGCAGAGAUCAUGUACACCAGCUGCGUCUUAUUAUGGAGUUGAUUGGCACUCCUUCAGAGGCUGAAAUGGAAUUUUUAAAUGAGAAUGCAAAACGCUAUAUCCGACAACUUCCUCUUUACCGUCGACAAUCAUUUACUGAAAAGUUCCCGCAUGUAAACCCAGCUGCUAUUGAUCUUGUCGAGAAAAUGUUGACAUUUGAUCCCAGAAGGAGAAUAACAGUUGAAGACGCUCUUGCACAUCCUUACCUAACAUCGCUCCAUGAUAUCAGUGACGAGCCCAUUUGCAUGACUCCUUUUAGCUUCGACUUUGAGCAGCAUGCGCUUACAGAGGAACAGAUGAAGGAGCUAAUUUACAGGGAGUCGAUUGCAUUUAAUCCUGAAUACCAGCGCAUGUGAAUAAUUGCUGACAGAUUGUUGCAGGUUUGAUCUACAUGUUAUGUGUAACUGACAAUAUAUCUCCCCAUGUAUAUAUGUGUGCAUUCCGUCCGGGAACAUGGAUGAGUUUCUUAUGCAAACACUUAGUUAUGAAGCUGACUUAUGUAUGGAGAGUUGUUUGAUGUAUCUUUAUGGGGUGGAUUUUAUUUUAGACUGAAAUGAAAAAUUCUGGUGGACA
RNAcentral lists this unclassified non-coding RNA (1448 nucleotides) under Hevea brasiliensis (rubber tree). The record is from RNAcentral. Lineage: Eukaryota; Viridiplantae; Streptophyta; Magnoliopsida; Malpighiales; Euphorbiaceae.